GACGAACCGUGCGAACGUUGUUCGGAAUCACUGGGCUUAAAGGGCGCGUAGGCGGGCGAUCAAGUCAGAGGUGAAAUCCUGCGGCUCAACCGCAGAAGCGCCCCUGAUACUGGCCGUCUGGAGGGAGGUAGGGGCGUGCGGAACUUCCGGUGGAGCGGUGAAAUGCGUAGAUAUCGGAAAGAACACCAACGGCGAAAGCACUCUGCUGGGCCGACACUGACACUGAGAGACGAAAGCUAGGGGAGCGAAUGGG
RNAcentral lists this ribosomal RNA (253 nucleotides) under uncultured bacterium. RNAcentral describes it as "partial 16S ribosomal RNA". It matches the Rfam family "Bacterial small subunit ribosomal RNA", at positions 524 to 776 of the family's 1533-position model. The record is from RNAcentral.